AACGAACGCUGGCGGCAGGCUUAACACAUGCAAGUCGAACGGAUGUAGCAAUACAUUAGUGGCGCACGGGUGAGUAACGCGUGGGAACGUGCCCUUAGGUACGGAACAACAUCGGGAAACUGAUGCUAAUACCGUAUAAUAUCUUCGGAUCAAUGAUUUAUCGCCUAAGGAUCGGCCCGCGUUGGAUUAGGUAGUUGGUGAGGUAAAUGCUCACCAAGCCGACGAUCCAUAGCUGGGCUGAGAGGAUGAUCAACCACACUGGGACCGAGACACCGGCCAUGCUCCUACGGGAGGCAGCAGUGAGGAAUAUUGGACAAUGGAGGAAACUCUGAGCCAGCCAUGCCGCGUGAGUGAAGAAGGUCUUCGGAUUGUAAAGCCCUUUUACCCCUGACGAUAAUGACGGUAAGGGGAGAAAAAGCCACGGCUAACUUCGUGCCAGCCGCCGCGGUAA
This 451-nucleotide ribosomal RNA is filed under the name uncultured bacterium. RNAcentral's name for it is "partial 16S ribosomal RNA". It matches the Rfam family "Bacterial small subunit ribosomal RNA", at positions 29 to 523 of the family's 1533-position model. The record is from RNAcentral.